This 211-nucleotide long non-coding RNA is filed under the name Mytilus galloprovincialis (Mediterranean mussel). The record is from RNAcentral. Lineage: Eukaryota; Metazoa; Mollusca; Bivalvia; Mytilida; Mytilidae.
AAAUUAGCAAGUCUUCAAUACAGUUAGCAUUAACAUGAUUACGAAACUACUUCCUUUGAUCCUACAAAAACAGAUGCCAACAAUGACAACUUGUUACAUUCAAAUGUGUUUUGUGAAUUUAUUUCACUUUAUCAUCACUUUCUUCGUCUGUUGAAACCUUUAAGAUUUUUUCUCAGUACUGUUUUGUUUUUCUAAAGGGGCGUAACACCAC